RNAcentral lists this ribosomal RNA (497 nucleotides) under uncultured bacterium. RNAcentral describes it as "partial 16S ribosomal RNA". It matches the Rfam family "Bacterial small subunit ribosomal RNA", at positions 28 to 507 of the family's 1533-position model. The record is from RNAcentral.
GAUGAACGCUGGCGGUGUGCCUAAUACAUGCAAGUCGAGCGAACAGAUCAGGAGCUUGCUCCUCUGACGUUAGCGGCGGACGGGAGAGUAACACGUGGAUAACCUACCUAUAAGACUGGGAUAACUUCGGGAAACCGGAGCUAAUACCAGAUAAUAUAUUGAACCGCAUGGUCCCAUAGUUAAUGACGGUGUUGCUGUCACUUAUAGAUGGAUCCGCGCCGCAUAAUCUAGGUGGUAAGGUAACGGCUUACCAAGGCAGCGAUGCGGAGCCGACCUGAGAGGGAGAUCUGGCACACCGGAGCUGAGACACGGUCCAGACGCCUACGAGAGGCAGCAGUGGGGAAUCUGCGGCGAUGGGCGAGAGCAUGACGGAGCAACGGCGCGUGAGUGAUGAAGGUAUUCGGAUCGUAAAACGCUGUUAUUAGGGAAGAACAAAUGUGUAAGUAACUAUGCACGUCUUGACGGUACCUAAGCAGAAAGCCACGGCUAACUACGUG